ACGAACGCUGGCGGCAUGCCUAACACAUGCAAGUCGAACGAGACCUUCGGGUCUAGUGGCGCACGGGUGCGUAACGCGUGGGAAUCUGCCCUUGGGUACGGAAUAACAGUUAGAAAUGACUGCUAAUACCGUAUAAUGACUUCGGUCCAAAGAUUUAUCGCCCAGGGAUGAGCCCGCGUAGGAUUAGCUAGUUGGUGAGGUAAAGGCUCACCAAGGCGACGAUCCUUAGCUGGUCUGAGAGGAUGAUCAGCCACACUGGGACUGAGACACGGCCCAGACUCCUACGGGAGGCAGCAGUGGGGAAUAUUGGACAAUGGGCGAAAGCCUGAUCCAGCAAUGCCGCGUGAGUGAUGAAGGCCUUAGGGUUGUAAAGCUCUUUUACCCGGGAUGAUAAUGACAGUACCGGGAGAAUAAGCCCCGGCUAACUCCGUGCCAGCCGCCGCGGUAAU
This 449-nucleotide ribosomal RNA is filed under the name uncultured bacterium. RNAcentral's name for it is "bacterial SSU rRNA". It matches the Rfam family "Bacterial small subunit ribosomal RNA", at positions 29 to 524 of the family's 1533-position model. The record is from RNAcentral.